Molecule: ribosomal RNA, 915 nt
Filed under: uncultured bacterium
Lineage: Bacteria
Description: bacterial SSU rRNA
Rfam family: Bacterial small subunit ribosomal RNA
Source: RNAcentral
UCCCGAGCGUUNUCCGGAUUUAUUGGGCGUAAAGCGAGCGCAGGCGGUUAGAUAAGUNUGAAGUUAAAGGCUGUGGCUUANCCAUAGUACGCUUUGGAAACUGUUUAACUUGAGUGCAGAAGGGGAGAGUGGAAUUCCAUGUGUAGCGGUGAAAUGCGUAGAUAUAUGGAGGAACACCGGUGGCGAAAGCGGCUCUCUGGUCUGUAACUGACGCUGAGGCUCGAAAGCGUGGGGAGCGAACAGGAUUAGAUACCCUGGUAGUCCACGCCGUAAACGAUGAGUGCUAGGUGUUAGGCCCUUUCCGGGGCUUAGUGCCGCAGCUAACGCAUUAAGCACUCCGCCUGGGGAGUACGACCGCAAGGUUGAAACUCAAAGGAAUUGACGGGGGCCCGCACAAGCGGUGGAGCAUGUGGUUUAAUUCGAAGCAACGCGAAGAACCUUACCAGGUCUUGACAUCCCGAUGCCCGCUCUAGAGAUAGAGUUUUACUUCGGUACAUCGGUGACAGGUGGUGCAUGGUUGUCGUCAGCUCGUGUCGUGAGAUGUUGGGUUAAGUCCCGCAACGAGCGCAACCCUUAUUGUUAGUUGCCGUCAUUCAGUUGGGCACUCUAGCGAGACUGCCGGUAAUAAACCGGAGGAAGGUGGGGAUGACGUCAAAUCAUCAUGCCCCUUAUGACCUGGGCUACACACGUGCUACAAUGGCUGGUACAACGAGUCGCAAGUCGGUGACGGCAAGCUAAUCUCUUAAAGCCAGUCUCAGUUCGGAUUGUAGGCUGCAACUCGCCUACAUGAAGUCGGAAUCGCUAGUAAUCGCGGAUCAGCACGCCGCGGUGAAUACGUUCCCGGGCCUUGUACACACCGCCCGUCACACCACGAGAGUUUGUAACACCCGAAGUCGGUGAGGUAACCUUUUAGGA